Molecule: ribosomal RNA, 333 nt
Filed under: uncultured bacterium
Lineage: Bacteria
Description: bacterial SSU rRNA
Rfam family: Bacterial small subunit ribosomal RNA
Source: RNAcentral
UGUGUAGGCGGAUCGUUAAGUACCUUGUGAAAUCCCACGGCUCAACCGUGGAACGGCUGGGUAUACUGGCGAUCUUGAGCGGCCUAGGGGCAGAUGGAACAAGUGGUGGAGCGGUGAAAUGCGUAGAUAUCACUUGGAACGCCAAAGGUGAAAACAGUCUGCUGGGGGCCUGCUGACGCUGAGACACGAAAGCCAGGGGAGCGAACGGGAUUAGAUACCCCCGGUAGUCCUGGCCCUAAACGAUGUCGACUAGAUCGUGGAACCUCUGACGGUGUCACGGUCGAAGCAAAAGUGCUAAGUCGACCGCCUGGGAAGUACGGUCGCAAGGCUAAA